RNAcentral lists this long non-coding RNA (1421 nucleotides) under Vulpes vulpes (red fox). RNAcentral describes it as "lncRNA (ENSVVUG00000000891.1)". Lineage: Eukaryota; Metazoa; Chordata; Mammalia; Carnivora; Canidae. The record is from RNAcentral.
GUUUGGUAAUAUCAGAAGGAGAGAAAUGCUAGUAUGCCAAAUGUGUUUGGAACUACCCACUGGAGUGGCAUAAAACAUAGUCAUUACAUCUGUUUAUAAUAUGUAUUCGAUAAUUCUGAUAUUUCAAGAUUUGGGGGGUGAGGCAUAUGGUAUCUAUUAUUUCUACCUAUUAUUAUUUUUCAUAACCAUCACUUCUAGUUUUGCAAUCUUUUCUUUUCCUUUAAUUUUCUCUUUUUUAUUGAUCUUAUUUGUUAUUAUCUCUUUAAUGAUCUUAAUUUUUAUAAAUCUGUAAUAUCUUUUAUGACGUUGUUCUAUUUUCUCCCCACUUUAUCUAUAGUCUAUUAAUAUCCUGAAAUUUCAGGCAGCCUUUCUUAGGGUUAUUUAGUUCUAAUUAGUUUUAGACUUUUGUUUUGAUUCUCAUCUGGAUAGGGUUGUUUCUCUCUCCUUCUCCUUCCCUCUAUUAAUCCAUUUCUUGCUUACGGUUUCUUCCUCCAAGUCCCUCCUCCAUCCUGGGACUUCUGCUCCAGCCCAUGAUUCAUAUCAUUGUAGCUGCUGUGAUUAGAGAGGAGCCAUCAGCACCCCUGGACAGAAACAAGAACCAGCCUGGAGUGAGAGCCUCUGAGCACCAGAGUUUGGUGAGGAAAAUUUUUCUUACUCUACAAGUCAUAACUAAUGCUGACAUAUACAAUCUAAAGGGAAGUACAGUUUUCCUACACUUUUCUCUUCCAUCUCAUUUUGAAACCUCAUCAAAAAGUUUCAGACUCUUUUUGUGAUUUCUAACAAAGAAUGGCUCAUUUAACAUUUUGACCUCUGUUGCUCAACUGUUCUCCUUCAGAGGGUGUCUUCUUUAAUGGGUUGGUUUUACAUAAAAAGGAUUUGACUAUAUUCAAUAUUAAAACAAACAUCAAUUAACAUAUUUGUUGGGUUUUUAUGCUGCCAAAUCGUUGGUUACACUGUUUCCCUUUCCAAGCUUGUUUUGGCAUUGUCAAAACUAUGUCUGAGCUACCCAGACUCUUUCCUAACUUCAGGACCCAAUUGCUUGGUUCCAGUAUCAGGAGGCAAUGAGUCAUUAGAGCCCAUCAGACUUCAUAGGGCCACAUAUGUGAUGUGGAAGUUAGAAAGCUGUUUCAUUGCCCAAUAUCUAUCCUGUCCCAUUUGAUUCACUUUUUCAGUUUGAUUACAGUCAACUUAUACCAUUUUCUACAUCACUAAUGGAAAUAUUCAAUACAAAGGCUGAAAUGAGACUGUGGUAACUGUCCUUCUACUUUUACCAACAUGAGAGAUCCUUUAUUACUGAAUGUUCUGGAAGGCUGAAAUAUUUACCAGUGCAAAUAUAAAUAAUUACGAUGGUUGCAAGUGUAUUCCUGGGCAAUGAGAAAUUCAGUUUGUCCUUGUCAAAAUAAAAACAAAAGAACAAAACA